AGCCAAAUCAUGUGCAUAAAUAUCAAUAUAUAUACUAUACUAAAAGGCUAAUAAGAUCAAUGGAGAGCAAGUCCACGUCAUCUAUUUAAUUCAGUCCAAUCAGAGAACAGCAUUCGUCCACAUCUGCUCGCACUCUUUAAUCUGAUGGGCUUCAACCGAAAUCAGACUCUCGGCUUUUAAUCUGAGCUAAUGAACGCGAUUGUGUUUUCCGUUUCUCUUCGAUUGACGAAGGCGGUGACGAUUCAGUUCAUGUAACGGACGGCGUUGUGAUUACUCUGUCUUUAAUCCCAUUAAUUUUUAUUUCAGUUGCGUUUUUCCGUCGACGAUUUCGAUAUAAAUAGGUUAGUAACUCUCUUCUGCGGAUCGCCAUCUCCAUAAUCUCUAUGCUACUCAUCUUUCUCAUACUCAUCUCUUCCUACACAUCUCUCUUGAUGGCUGCUAACCCGAAAUUGUUUUUCUCGACUUGAAAUCCGGCCGGUUUUCAUCGGUUGUCGAGGCCAGGCUGCUCGGGUGGGGAGCUUAUGCUGGUGGAUUUUCUCAUGGUGGAUAUUGAGUGAUCUUUUCUGUUUUAAUCUAUAUAUCGAUUGUUCUGAGAUAUUAUUUACCGUCGUCCUGUUCACGAGUCAUGUUCGUGUGUCCGGUUAACAUCAUGUUGUUCUGUUUUUUUUUCUGAUUUUUGUUUUUUUUUUUAUAAAAUUAACUCUUAUUUGUUCUGACCUAUUUUCCUCGGCGAACUGUAUCGAACUGAUGACGACUCCCAAAAAAGGAUGGAGAAUGUGCCAGAUGACUUAGCUAGCGACAACGUAGCCGAGGUUGACGUGAGCGAUAAAUACAUUGACGCAGUAGACCUCGAGAGACGGAUGUGGAAGGAUCGUGUACGCCUCAAAAGAAUCAAAGAACGUACCAACAAAACCGGUUCCCAAGCGAAGCGCCCAAGAAGAUCUCUGACCAACAAAACUGUGGUGAACAGUGACAAUGAUGUUGAUGGGACAGAGGAGGCUUCAGGUUCAUUAACAGCCACCUCGCAGCCAGUAAGAGAUCAAGAUAAAGCAGAGAAACACAGGAGAAGGAAAAGACCAAGAAGCAUAUCAGAAGCUGAACAGAGAAAUGUUAUACCUGACAUGAAUCAUGUUGAUGCCUCUGCUAGGACAUAACAUCAACGGUACUCAUCACCGUGAAGAAGGUGUUUUGGAACCAAACAUAGCCUUAGGACCAGAGGAGAACGGUCUGGUAUUGGUGGUUCCAGAGUUUGAUAGCAACUGUACUCAUCUUCUCCCUGUUAGUGGACAAGCUAUGAUGCCUGUAGAGGAACGGUUUACGGACCAAACCAUAACCAGGAGUUGCAGUUUGGGUCAGGUUAAAACUUCUAUAAUCCUUCUGCAGUGUUUGUGAAUAAUCAGGAAGAAGAUCUUAUAGAAAUGAACCCAUCUCACAACAAUGGGUUUGAGGCCUCAGUAGAAGUACUUCAACCCCAUGGUUUACAUGAAAAUGAAGAAAGAGAUUUGUCUACUCAGUUUCAGAGUGACAGUAACAGUCUCAGAGAUUUGAUUCCUAUUGUGCAUUUGAUGAUGACUUCUCAUGGUUUCGAGCAUAGUUUCUUGACGUUUUUGUUGGGAGGUUAAGUAACCAUUGUGAGGUAGCUUAAGAUCUUAUAAUCUUUUGGUAUUGUCUUAAUUUUUUCUUUUUUUUGGCAAGUUAUGUUGCAGGUUCAAAAAAACAUGGCAGUAGUCUUGAAUAACUAUGAGCUUGAUUAUGAGAUCCAAUUAUUUGCAAAAGACUUA
Molecule: long non-coding RNA, 1781 nt
Organism: Raphanus sativus (radish)
Lineage: Eukaryota; Viridiplantae; Streptophyta; Magnoliopsida; Brassicales; Brassicaceae
Exons: 2
Source: RefSeq, a predicted model, not a curated record